GAUGAAGAACGCAGCAAAAUGCGAUACUUGGUGUGAAUUGCAGAAUCCCGUGAACCAUCGAGUUUUUGAACGCAAGUUGCGCCCGAAGCCUUUUGGCCGAGGGCACGUCUGCCUGGGCGUCACGCAUCGCGUCGCCCCCCACAAUUCUCCGUAAAGGGAACAUGUGUUUUGGGGGCGGAUAUUGGUCUCCCGUGCUCAUGGCGUGGUUGGCCGAAAUAGGAGUCCUUUCGAUGGACGCACGAACUAGUGGUGGUCGUAAAAACCCUCGUCUUUUGUUUCGUGCUGUUGCUCGCAAGGUAAACUCUUUAAAAACCCCAAUGUGCCGUCUCUUGACGACGCUUCGACCGCGACCCCAGGUCAGGCGGGACUACCCGCUGAGUUUAAGCAUAUCCAAUAAGCGGAGGA
Molecule: unclassified non-coding RNA, 405 nt
Filed under: soil metagenome
Description: partial contains 5.8S ribosomal RNA, internal transcribed spacer 2, and large subunit ribosomal RNA
Rfam family: 5.8S ribosomal RNA (bases 1-122)
Source: RNAcentral